GACGAACGCUGGCGGCGUGCUUAACACAUGCAAGUCGAACGGAAAGGCCCUGCUUUUGUGGGGUGCUCGAGUGGCGAACGGGUGAGUAACACGUGAGUAACCUGCCCUUGACUUUGGGAUAACUUCAGGAAACUGGGGCUAAUACCGGAUAGGAGCUCCUGCUGCAUGGUGGGGGUUGGAAAGUUUCGGCGGUUGGGGAUGGACUCGCGGCUUAUCAGCUUGUUGGUGGGGUAGUGGCUUACCAAGGCUUUGACGGGUAGCCGGCCUGAGAGGGUGACCGGCCACAUUGGGACUGAGAUGCGGCCCAGACUCCUACGGGAGGCAGCAGUGGGGAAUAUUGCACAAUGGGCGGAAGCCUGAUGCAGCAACGCCGCGUGCGGGAUGACGGCCUUCGGGUUUUAAACCGCUUUCGCCUGUGACGAAGCGUGAGUGACGGUAAUGGGUAAAGAAGCACCGGCUAACUACGUG
This 468-nucleotide ribosomal RNA is filed under the name uncultured bacterium. Its description in RNAcentral is "partial 16S ribosomal RNA". It matches the Rfam family "Bacterial small subunit ribosomal RNA", at positions 28 to 507 of the family's 1533-position model. The record is from RNAcentral.